Molecule: non-coding RNA, 48 nt
Filed under: Schistosoma mansoni
Lineage: Eukaryota; Metazoa; Platyhelminthes; Trematoda; Strigeidida; Schistosomatidae
Source: RNAcentral
AUCCAGUUGACGAGUCCCAAAUAGGACGAAGUGGUUUGUGUCCUGGAU